RNAcentral lists this ribosomal RNA (253 nucleotides) under uncultured bacterium. Its description in RNAcentral is "partial 16S ribosomal RNA". It matches the Rfam family "Bacterial small subunit ribosomal RNA", at positions 524 to 776 of the family's 1533-position model. The record is from RNAcentral.
UACGUAGGGGGCUAGCGUUGUCCGGAUUCAUUGGGCGUAAAGGGUGCGUAGGUGGCGCUGUAAGUCGGGUGUGAAAUUUCGGAGCUUAACUCCGAAACUGCAUUCGAUACUGCGGUGCUUGAGGACUGGAGAGGAGACUGGAAUUCAUGGUGUAGCAGUGAAAUGCGUAGAGAUCAUGAGGAAGACCAGUGGCGAAGGCGGGUCUCUGGACAGUUCCUGACACUGAGACACGAAGGCCAGGGGAGCAAACGGG